ACACAAUGUUCUGUCUCUCUCUCUGCCUCGCCAAAAUCUUCUCGACUAAGCCGAUUGCGAUUCACUGCAGAUUUCCUUGAAUCCGUUGAUUGCUCUCCUCAUUUUAAUAACUUAAAGGCUGUAGAUCAAAAUACAAUCUACCAAUCCCUUUUUUGAUCAUCA
Molecule: small RNA, 162 nt
Filed under: Arabidopsis thaliana (thale cress)
Lineage: Eukaryota; Viridiplantae; Streptophyta; Magnoliopsida; Brassicales; Brassicaceae
Description: ATSL159210
Source: RNAcentral